This 463-nucleotide ribosomal RNA is filed under the name uncultured bacterium. Its description in RNAcentral is "partial 16S ribosomal RNA". It matches the Rfam family "Bacterial small subunit ribosomal RNA", at positions 339 to 795 of the family's 1533-position model. The record is from RNAcentral.
CUACGGGGGGCAGCAGUGGGGAAUAUUGCACAAUGGGCGCAAGCCUGAUGCAGCCAUGCCGCGUGUAUGAAGAAGGCCUUCGGGUUGUAAAGUACUUUCAGCGGGGAGGAAGGGAGUAAAGUUAAUACCUUUGCUGAUUGACGUUACCCGCAGAAGAAGCACCGGCUAACUCCGUGCCAGCAGCCGCGGUAAUACGGAGGGUGCAAGCGUUAAUCGGAAUUACUGGGCGUAAAGCGCACGCAGGCGGUUUGUUAAGUAAGAUGUGAAACCCCGGGCUCAACCUGGGAACUGCAUCUGAUACGGGCAAGCUUGAGUCUCGUAGAGGGGGGUAGAAUUCCAGGUGUAGCGGUGAAAUGCGUAGAGAUCUGGAGGAAUACCGGUGGCGAAGGCGGCCCCCUGGACGAAGACUGACGCUCAGGUGCGAAAGCGUGGGGAGCAAACAGGAUUAGAUACCCUAGUAGUC